UGGCGAGGAUCGGACGGCGGUGAAACCCUAACACGAACCGGUGGUGAUUCGAGGGAAGAUGACUGUAGAGCGAGGCAGGUAGGGUUAUGGUGAAUUGGAGAAUGAGAUGGAGAUGGAGAUGGAGAGAAAGAUGAUUUUUGAGAGGAUUGAUGGAGAUGAAGACGAGUGAAAGUAGGAGAGAGAUUGAGGAUUACUGUAAAAGAAGCCAUGGAGAAGAAAAUAGAGGGUUUUGGUUAACCUAAUCUGGUAAAAGGAACAUAGGGUAGCAAGCAAAUUCAGAGAGGAUGUGAGCUCGUCGUCGUCGUCAUCAUCUUCAUCACGUAAAUGGAGACGCGUGUAUUUAUGACGUCGGCAUUUAUAAAAAAUUAA
RNAcentral lists this long non-coding RNA (369 nucleotides) under Helianthus annuus (common sunflower). RNAcentral describes it as "sRNA HanXRQr2_Chr11g0484091". Lineage: Eukaryota; Viridiplantae; Streptophyta; Magnoliopsida; Asterales; Asteraceae. The record is from RNAcentral.